AUGCCGGUGAUGUUCGUCCCCUCCAGUGACAGCCGGCUGGCAGCAGUGGCCGUAGACGGCCUUCAGAAUCUGGUGCCUGCCAAUCGCGAGGGCAACGUGUCUAAUGAAAACAAGGAGCAGAAUUUUUGUUCCUGGUUGUUGUUCCUGACAUCACUGGCUGCCACCGUGACCUUCACAGCGGGGCUCACCCCACCCAGUGGUUUCUGGUCCACGGACGACAAGGACAAGAAAUACUUCGCUGGUGACCCGGUCAUGGACACCAAAUCUCCCACAAGGUAUGCCGCCUUUUACAUGAGCAACGCAUUCGCCUUCUUCACGUCCUUAAUGAUCAUCGCGUCCCUCGCCAAGAACAGGAAUAGGGAGAAGAUCAUGACUAUUCCUUUCACACUCCUUGUAGUACUUUGUUUCCUAAGCCUAGGAUCUGCCUAUGUCAGCGGCACCUGGAUCAAAGUCGGGAAAAGGAGAUCGGGGGUCACACCACACGCAUCCUUCUCUCCCCUCCUCUCCCCCAGAAACGAGAACUGCUUCUCGUCAUCCCCAAUCCGACCGCCGCCGCCGCCCCAACCCCAACCCCCCCGCCGGCGGCCUCCUCCUCCCCUAGCGCCGCCGCUCCAACCCUUCACCUUCUAUCUCUAUCCCUACUCUAUUCCAAGGGAGGGAAAGCCCCGUAUCGCGCGACAAGGUGAGGGGGUGCCCAAAUCCGCAGCGGCACCACCACGCCCUCAUCCACCUGGUCCUCGUGGUUGGCCAUGGAGGUCUGACCCGACCCAUGGAUGGAUGGGGGCAAAACCCUAG
RNAcentral lists this ribosomal RNA (795 nucleotides) under Triticum aestivum (bread wheat). Its description in RNAcentral is "partial small subunit ribosomal RNA". The record is from RNAcentral. Lineage: Eukaryota; Viridiplantae; Streptophyta; Magnoliopsida; Poales; Poaceae.